GGGUUGUGAGGUUAAGCGACUAAGCGUACACGGUGGAUGCCUAGGCAAUCAGAGGCGAUGAAGGACGUGCUAAUCUGCGAAAAGCGUCGGUAAGGUGAUAUGAACCGUUAUAACCGACGAUGUCCGAAUGGGGAAACCCAGUGCAAUUCGUUGCACUAUCGUUUGAUGAAUCCAUAGUCAAACGAGGCGAACCGGGGGAACUGAAACAUCUCAGUACCCCGAGGAAAAGAAAUCAACCGAGAUUCCCCUAGUAGCGGCGAGCGAACGGGGAGCAGCCCAGAGUCUUAAUCAGCAUCAGCAUCAGGAGAACGGUCUGGAAAGGCCGGCAAUAAAGGGUGAUAGCCCCGUAUCCGAAGGUGUUGGUGUUGUGAACUCGACGAGUAGGGCGGGACACGUGUUAUCCUGUCUGAAUAUGGGGGGACCAUCCUCCAAGGCUAAAUACUCCUGAUUGACCGAUAGUGAACCAGUACCGUGAGGGAAAGGCGAAAAGAACCCCGGCGAGGGGAGUGAAAUAGAACCUGAAACCGUGUACGUACAAGCAGUGGGAGCCUUGAUUUAUCAGGGUGACUGCGUACCUUUUGUAUAAUGGGUCAGCGACUUAUAUUCUGUAGCAAGGUUAACCGAAUAGGGGAGCCGUAGGGAAACCGAGUCUUAACUGGGCGAAUGAGUUGCAGGGUAUAGACCCGAAACCCGGUGAUCUAGCCAUGGGCAGGUUGAAGGUUGGGUAACACUAACUGGAGGACCGAACCGACUAAUGUUGAAAAAUUAGCGGAUGACUUGUGGCUGGGGGUGAAAGGCCAAUCAAACCGGGAGAUAGCUGGUUCUCCCCGAAAGCUAUUUAGGUAGCGCCUCGUGAACUCAUCUUCGGGGGUAGAGCACUGUUUCGGCUAGGGGGUCAUCCCGACUUACCAACCCGAUGCAAACUACGAAUACCGAAGAAUGUUAUCACGGGAGACACACGGCGGGUGCUAACGUUCGUCGUGAAGAGGGAAACAACCCAGACCGCCAGCUAAGGUCCCAAAGUCAUGGUUAAGUGGGAAACGAAGUGGGAAGGCUCAGACAGCCAGGAUGUUGGCUUAGAAGCAGCCAUCAUUUAAAGAAAGCGUAAUAGCUCACUGGUCGAGUCGGCCUGCGCGGAAGAUGUAACGGGGCUAAACCAUGCACCGAAGCUGCGGCAGCGACAUGUAAAUGUUGUUGGGUAGGGGAGCGUUCUGUAAGCCUGUGAAGGUGUGCUGCGAGGCAUGCUGGAGGUAUCAGAAGUGCGAAUGCUGACAUAAGUAACGAUAAUGCGGGUGAAAAACCCGCACGCCGGAAGACCAAGGGUUCCUGUCCAACGUUAAUCGGGGCAGGGUGAGUCGACCCCUAAGGCGAGGCAGAAAUGCGUAGUCGAUGGGAAACAGGUUAAUAUUCCUGUACUGGUGAUAAUUGCGAUGGGGGGACGGAGAAGGCUAGGCUGGCCGGGCGACGGUUGUCCCGGUUUAAGGAUGUAGGUGGGUGAAUUAGGCAAAUCCGGUUCGCUAUACACUGAGGUCUGAUGACGAGUCACUACGGUGGCGAAGUAGCUCAUGCCCCGCUUCCAGGAAAAGCCUCUAAGCUCUAGAUUAUCAUUAAUCGUACCCCAAACCGACACAGGUGGUCAGGUAGAGAAUACUCAGGCGCUUGAGAGAACUCGGGUGAAGGAACUAGGCAAAAUGGUGCCGUAACUUCGGGAGAAGGCACGCUGGCACUAGGUGAAGUGGUUUACCCAUGGAGCUGAAGCCAGUCGCAGAUACCAGCUGGCUGCAACUGUUUAUUAAAAACACAGCACUGUGCAAACACGAAAGUGGACGUAUACGGUGUGACGCCUGCCCGGUGCUGGAAGGUUAAUUGAUGGGGUUAUCCGUAAGGAGAAGCUCUUGAUCGAAGCCCCAGUAAACGGCGGCCGUAACUAUAACGGUCCUAAGGUAGCGAAAUUCCUUGUCGGGUAAGUUCCGACCUGCACGAAUGGCGUAAUGAUGGCCAGGCUGUCUCCACCCGAGACUCAGUGAAAUUGAACUCGCUGUGAAGAUGCAGUGUACCCGCGGCAAGACGGAAAGACCCCGUGAACCUUUACUAUAGCUUGACACUGAACAUUGAGCCUUGAUGUGUAGGAUAGGUGGGAGGCUUUGAAGUGUGGACGCCAGUCUGCAUGGAGCCAACCUUGAAAUACCACCCUUUAAUGUUUGAUGUUCUAACGUUGCCCCGUGAACCGGGGUGCGGACAGUGUCUGGUGGGUAGUUUGACUGGGGCGGUCUCCUCCCAAAGCGUAACGGAGGAGCACGAAGGUUGGCUAAGCAUGGUCGGACAUCAUGCGGUUAGUGCAAAGGCAUAAGCCAGCUUGACUGCGAGAGUGACGGCUCGAGCAGGUACGAAAGUAGGUCUUAGUGAUCCGGUGGUUCUGAAUGGAAGGGCCAUCGCUCAACGGAUAAAAGGUACUCCGGGGAUAACAGGCUGAUACCGCCCAAGAGUUCAUAUCGACGGCGGUGUUUGGCACCUCGAUGUCGGCUCAUCACAUCCUGGGGCUGAAGUAGGUCCCAAGGGUAUGGCUGUUCGCCAUUUAAAGUGGUACGCGAGCUGGGUUUAGAACGUCGUGAGACAGUUCGGUCCCUAUCUGCCGUGGGCGUUGGAAGAUUGAAAGGGGCUGCUCCUAGUACGAGAGGACCGGAGUGGACGCACCGCUGGUGUUCGGGUUGUCAUGCCAAUGGCACUGCCCGGUAGCUAAGUGCGGAAGAGAUAACCGCUGAAAGCAUCUAAGCGGGAAACUUGCCUUGAGAUGAGUCUUCCCUGACUCUUUAAGGGUCCUAAAGGAACGUUUAAGACGAAGACGUUGAUAGGCUGGGUGUGUAAGCGUAGCGAUACGUUGAGCUAACCAGUACUAAUGAACCGUGAGGCUUAACCUGACAACACCGAAGGUGUUUUAG
Molecule: ribosomal RNA, 2939 nt
Filed under: Providencia stuartii
Lineage: Bacteria; Pseudomonadati; Pseudomonadota; Gammaproteobacteria; Enterobacterales; Morganellaceae
Description: bacterial LSU rRNA
Rfam family: Bacterial large subunit ribosomal RNA
Source: RNAcentral